GGUUGUCACGUGACACCCAGGAGGCCGGAACUGGGCGGCUUGCGUGAAUUGCAGGAGUUUGACAGAAACAGACCGCGACGUCGCGGAGGUAGGGUGUAUGGCCGAGGCUGUGAAGCCCCGCCGGGCCAAGGCCAAGGCCAGCCGCACCAAAGGCAAGGAAAAGAAGAAGCAUGAAGCCCUUCAGACUUGUGAUGCAGGUCCCCUGCCAGAGACCUGUCGCGAGCAGGAGAGCCCGUGUCCAGCUUCUGAACUCAAAGGAGAUGACCUGAAGUCGUCUGCUGACCCCCAGCUCCACAGUGAUGUGUGUGGAUGGAAUGAAAGUGAGAUGUUUGAUAUACCACUCACCUCCUUGACUAUAGGGGAUGAAGGUCCCCCGGUACAGGACACAGAGGACCUAAAAGAAAGGGGAGAGGUCACAGCCGGUGAUGGAGAUGAUGAAAUGGAGUUGAAGGUGGACCCUGGGGACAACGUUAUAGCUAAAGGUGAACCUUGUAAGAACUUCCCGGAAGUAGAGGACCACACACUCAUCCAGUGUGGGCCUCCAGAGAGCACACUGCAGCCUGACUUUCCCUGCACUCAGCAGGCAGUGGAGGGCUCACAUGCCAGAGAACAUCCGACUAGGAAGCAAGAUGAAGCCGCCCUCGGCUGUUCAAAGGUGUUUCAGAAUGUUAGCUUGCACAGUUCUUAUGAAGCCAAAGAAGUUUCUCAGCCACCGAGAGUGAAGAAACUAUAUCCUGAGUUGCCAGCUGAAAUUGCUGAAGUACCAGCUCUGGUGGCAGUGAAGCCAUUGCUCCGUAGUGAGCGACUCUACCCAGAACUCCCGUCUCAACCAGAAGUGACACCCUUCACUAAAGAACAGCUCAAACUCUUGGAGCCUGGCUCAUGGCUGGAAAAUGUUGCAUCAUAUGUAGAAGAAUUCGAUAACAUUGCUCAUCAGGACAGACACGAGUUUUAUGAGCUGCUUUUGAAUUACUCACGGUGCAGGAAGCAGUUGCUGUUGGCUGAAGCUGAGCUGCUCACUCUGAUGUCUGACUGCCACAGUGCCAAAAGUCGACUGUGGCACUUUAAGGAUGAGCAGAUGGCCGUACAGGGCAUCUGUGCAGAUCAAGUGAAAGUCUACGGGCAUCACCACUACCAGCGAGUAGAGAUGAAUGAAAAUGUCCUGGGCGAGCUGAAGAAGCUGUUUGAUGCCAAAUCUGAGCACCUCCACCAGACCCUGACCCUCCACUCGUACACUUCUGUGCUCUCGAGGUUGCAAGUGGAGUCCUACAUCUUCACACUGCUCAAUAGCUCAGCUGCUCUGAGAUCUUUAGCAGUUUAUCAGGCAGACCAAGUUCCUAAACUGACAGAAAGCAUCCCCUCUGAUGUGUGUCAGCUGAAGGAGUGCAUUAGUGUCUUGUUCAUGUUCACCAGGAGAGUGAGUGAGGAUGCCCAGUUCCAUGAGGACAUCCUGCUCUGGCUGCAGAAGCUGGUGUCCGUGUUACAACGAGUCGGCUGUCCUGGGGAUCACUUCUUUCUCCUGAACCACGUUCUCCGCUGCCCAGCUGGCAUUCGUAAAUGGGCUGUUCCUUUUAUACAGAUCAAAGUGUUGAAUAACCCUUCAGGGGUCUUUCAUUUUAUGCAGUCCCUUGCCCUGCUGAUGUCUCCUGUCAAAAACCGAGCGGAGUUUAUGUGCCACAUGAAGCCCAGUGAGUGGAAGCCAUCAUCUUCAGGGCCAGCAUCUGGGAACUGGACACUUGUAGAUGAAGCGGGGGAAGAGGAUGAAGACCCUGAGACCAGUUGGAUUCUCCUUAAUGAAGACGACUUGGUCACCCUUUUGUCCCAGUUUCCCUUUCAGGAGCUCUUUCAGCAUCUUCUUGGGUUUAAAGCCAAAGGUGAUUAUUUACCUGAAACAACAAGGCCCCAAGAGAUGAUGAAAAUUUUUGCCUUUGCCAACUCAUUAGUGGAGCUUCUGGCUGUGGGACUAGACACCUUUAACAGAGCCCGCUACAGGCAGUUUGUGAAGCGCAUUGGAUACCUGAUCAGGAUGACCCUUGGCUAUGUCAGUGACCACUGGGCUCAGUAUGUGAGCCACAGCACAGGCGCGGGGCUAACACCGCAGCCCUACUCCAUGGAGAAACUGCAGGUGGAAUUUGAUGAGCUGUUUCUCAGGGCUGUCCUCCAUGUCCUGAAAGCCAAAAGACUUGGCAUUUGGCUGUUCAUGUCUGAGAUGCCCUUCGGCACGCUGUCGGUCCAGAUGCUCUGGAAGCUCUUGUACCUCAUGCACCAGGUGGAGAGUGGGGACCUGCAGCAACUCUGUGCCUCCCUGCAGCCGGCCGAGUGCAAGAGGCGACUCCAAGACCCAGAACAUUUUGCGAGCUUUGAGAAGUGUCUUUCUUCCAUCAACAGCUCAGAGGAGAUCUGUCUCCUCACGGCCUUUGCUCAGAUGGCUCGAGCCAGAAGAACCAAUGUGGAUGAAGACUUCAUAAAAAUCAUUGUCCUGGAGAUCUAUGAGGUAUCUUAUGUCACACUGUCUACCAGAGAGACUUUCUCAAAGGUUGGUCGAGAGCUUCUGGGAGCCAUUGCAGCUGUUCACCCUGAGAUUAUCUCUGUCCUUUUGGACAGAGUGCAGGAGACCAUUGACCAAGUUGGAAUGGUUUCUUUAUACUUGUUUAAAGAACUGCCUUUGUAUCUUUGGCGACCUUCUGCCCCAGAGAUAGCUGUGAUUCGGGACUGGUUAUUGAAUAAUAAUCUGACAGCAGUGAAGAACAAGUUGGCCUGUGUGAUCCUAGAAGGACUGAAUUGGGGAUUUACUGAACAGGGUACCCUUCAUUUGGAUCAAGCAUUGCACACGGAAGUGGCCUUACUGGUUCUCGAGGCUUAUCAGAAAUACCUGGCACAGAAACCUUAUACUGGGCUUAUUUCUGAAAGUAUGAAACAGGUUUCCUAUUUGGCCAGUAUUGUUCGAUAUGGAGAGACUCCUGAGACCUCAUUUAACCAGUGGGCCUGGAAUUUAAUCUUGAGGUUAAAAUUGCACAAAAAUGAUUUUGGAAGACAGAACUUUCCAGUCAUUCCCUUCUGCAGCACAGUACCUGACAUGACAGAAUCGUCCAUGUUUCACCCUCUCUUGAAGGCUGUGAAAUCAGGCUUGCCCAUUGGCUGCUAUCUCGCUUUAGCUGUGACAGCUGUUGGCCACAGCCUUGAGAAGUUCUGUGCAGAAGGCAUCCCACUGCUGGGCGUGCUGGUCCAGUCACGGCAUCUGAGAGCAGUGGUCCAUGCCCUAGAUAAGAUCCUGCCUGUGUUCUACCCUUACCAGUGCUACCUUCUGAAGAACGAGCAGUUUUUGUCGAACCUUCUCCUCUUCCUACAAUUGGACAGCGGUGUUCCCCAGGGGGUCACACAGCAGGUCACCCACAGGGUGGCCCAGCAUCUGACAGGAGCCGUCCAUGGAGACAAUGUGAAACUUCUCAGCAGCAUGAUCCAGGCACACAUAUGUGUAAGCACUCAGCCGGAUGGAGUGGGUCCUGUGGCUGUGUUGGAGUUCUGGGUCCAGGCUCUCAUAAGCCAGCAUCUGUGGUACCGAGAACAGCCCAUUCUCUUCCUCAUGGACCACUUGUGUAAGACAGCGUUUCACCUGAUGCAGGAAGAUUGUGUGCAAAAAUUGCUCUACCAACAGCACAAGAAUGCUUUGGGUUACCACUGUGACCGGAGUCUGCUCUCUUCCUUGGUGAACUGGAUUGUGGCAGGGAACAUCACGCCUUCCUUCGUGGAGGGCUUGUCCACGUCCACACAGGUUUGGUUUGCAUGGACUGUGUUGAACAUGGAAUCCAUCUUUGAAGAGGACUCUCAGCUCCGAAGAGUUGUUGAAAGGGAAUUGGUUAUAAAUGCGUUUAGCCCUGACCAAGCUCUAAAGAAAGCCCAGGUCCAGCUGAAGCUGCCCAUCGUCCCGUCCCUGCAGCGGCUGUUGAUUUAUCGCUGGGCCCACCAGGCUCUGGUCACACCUUCUGAUCAUCCCCUUUUGCCACUCAUUUGGCAGAAGUUCUUCCUCCUGUAUCUUCAUCGCCCAGGACCACAAUAUGGGUUACCUGUGGAUGGUUGUAUUGGAAGAAGGUUUUUUCAAAGUCCCUCGCACGUUAAUUUGUUGAAAGACAUGAAGAGACGCCUGACGGAGGUGGCUGACUUCCACUAUGCUGCCAGCAAGGCCCUCCGUGUUCCAGCAGAGGGCAGUGAAGGGACACCAGAAGGGCAGGCUGGCACCCCUGGCUUCCUGACUUCCCCAGAACUGCACAGGGAACUAGUGAGGCUCUUUAAUGUAUAUGUAUUAUGGCUAGAAGAUGAAAAUUUUCAGAAAGGAGAUACCUAUAUUCCUUCUUUACCAAAGCACUACGAUGUUCACAGGCUAGCAAAAGUGAUGCAGAAUCAGCAGGACCUGUGGAUGGAGUAUGUGAAUAUGGAGCGCAUACAGCACGAGUUCCAGGAGACAGUUGCUCUGUGGACACAGGCCAAGCUUGAGUCCCAUGCCGCACCCUGCAGCUCUUCAGCACAGCUGGAUUUCACGGACCCCUUGCUGGCUAAAGCAAGGGUUCUGAGUAACUUAGAGAAGCACGAGGCUCCACAUCCUCCUCUUCUUCUGCACCCCGUGAGGCCUCCCGUGCCACUCAUUCCCUCUGCUGCGCUGUUGACACAGAAGGACAGCACCCAGCUCAUGUGCACAGACCUGAAUCUGCUGCAGCAGCAGGCCAGGAGUGCCACUCUGCGGGAGUCGCAGCAGGUUGCCUUGGAUGGCGAGCUGUUGGAGACCAUGCCCAAACAGUACGUUAACCGGGAAGAUCAGGCCACCCUGCAUCUGGAGUGCAGAGGCAGCAGUGGCAAGAAGUGCCAAGGAGCAGCAGUUGUAACGGUCCAGUUUGAAGGCAUGAACAAGAAUGAAGCCGUAAGCCAGCAGAUCCAUGUUCUGCAGAAAGAAGUGAGGCAGCUCCAAGCGGAAGCUGCUCAGCCCCCGGCACUGAAUGUUGUGGAGGCCGCUGUGCAUGCAGAAAACCUGAUCACGGCCUUAGUGAACACUUAUAAGUUACAGCCUACACCUGGAGUUCAGAAACUUGGCAUUAGCCUUUUCUUUACUGUUGUGGACCAUGUCAGCGAUGAGACCCAGCGCCAUCCUCCUACAAGGCAGUUCUUCACUUCAUGCAUCGAGAUCUUGGGACAGGUGUUUGUUAGCGGCACUAAGUCCGAGUGCAGGAAGCUGCUCCAGACCAUCCUGAAGAACAGGCGGCUCUGCUCGCUGCUGGCUCCUUUCUUCACGCCCAAUGCUGCGCCCGCCGAGUUCAUCCAGCUGUAUGAGAGAGUGGUGACUUGUCUGCGCGAGGACAACAGCGACGUGAUCUUCAUGCUGCUCACCAAGUUUGAUAUUCAGCAGUGGUUAAACAGCACUAAGCCCCCUCUGUCUGACCGCACCAGGCUCCUGGAGUCCAUUCACUUGGCACUCACUGCCUGGGGCCUUGAACCAGAGGAAGAUAUUCUGAUGCCAUUUAAUCUUUUCUGCAAGCACUGGACUCACCUCCUACUCUACCAGUUCCCUGACCAGUACAGUGAUGUCCUCAGGCUGCUGGUGCAGAGCUCUGCCGAGCAGCUGCUGAGUCCCGAGUGCUGGAAAGCCACUUUGAGAGCCCUGGGCUGUUAUGCCCCAAGCAGCCAGCAGGGGGCGGCGUCUGUGGAGAGCUCUGGGCUUCACAGUGCCUCCCGUGUUCUCCUGUCAGACAAGCAGGUAAUGGAGACGGUACAGUGGCUUUCUGACUUCUUUUAUAAGUUGCGGCUCUCCAAGUUGGACUUUAAAAGCUUUGGAUUAUUCUCAAAGUGGAGUCCUUACAUGGCUGAUGUGAAGACAUUUCUGGGAUACCUUGUGAAAAGGCUGACUGACUUAGAAAUAGCCUCCUUGUCUCAGGACCCAACCGCCAGCAGCAAAGAAGUGCUGAGGUCCCUGCACGCGCAGAUCAUCCAGCUCUUUAAGCCCUGGAUCCUGGUUUUAGAGGACGCGGAAAGUAGCCACCAGCGACAUUACCCGUGGCUGGAGAGUGACACUGCGGUGGCCUCCAGCAUCGUGCAGCUCUUCUCUGACUGUGUCGGCUCAUUGCACACGAGUUUUAAAGACAGGCUGUUGCCAGGCGAUGAGGGAGCCCUGCGGUUGCACCUGCUGCACUACUGUGAAACAUGCACAGCACCCAAGAUGCCGGAGUUCAUUCUCUAUGCCUUCCACAGUGCAUACCAGAGACUGGAGUGGAAGGACUUGCACCCUGACCAGAGGCUCAUGGAGGCCUUCUUUAAGGUGGAACGUGGAAGCCCCAAGAGUUGUUUCUUGUUUUUGGGGUCUGUACUUUGCAGAGUCAACUGGGUUAGUGUGCUGUCUGACGCCUGGAAUCCCAGCCCCCUUCCGGAAACCCAGAGCAUGGCUGUCUGCCUCCUUUUCAUGAUGGUUUUACUAGCAAAGGAGGCUCAGCUCGUUGACGAGCCAGAUUCACCUUUACUGAGUCUCCUUGGACAGACAAGCUCACUCUCAUGGCAUCUUGUGGACCUUGUGUCAUACCAGAGUGUGUUGGGUUAUUUCAGCAGUCAUUACCCACCAUCCGUCGUCCUGGCAAAUGACUGUUCCUCGGAACUGAUAGUGAAGCUGUUAAAAGUGUCUGCAGGGCUUUCUGCUCAUGCUGACGGCCGGAAGCACGUGGACAUAGUUCCAAAAUGCCAGGCUUUCACUCAUCAGAUGGUUCAGUUUCUCAGUGCCUUGGAACAGACUGGAAAAAUCACCUUCCCAGCACUGGAGCGGGAAAUAUCUAAGCUGUUGGAUGACAUCAUUAUCUUUAACCCACCCGGUCUGAGUGUGUGUGUCUUUGCCUUUAGACAUGGACAGCCAGACCCGCCACAUGGCCCUCAGCAGCUUCUUUGUGGAAGUCCUGAUGAUGAUGAACAAUGCGGCUGUUCCAACAGCAGAGUUCCUUGCUGUCAGUAUUCGGACCUGGAUUGGCCAAAGAGUGCAUGGCUUGAUAGUGCUGCCCCUCUUAACAGCAGCCUGCCAAAGCCUGGCGUCUGUCCGCCACAUGGCGGAGAUCACCGAAGCCUGCAUCAUGGCCUACUUCAAGGAAAGCUCCCUCGAUCAGAACUUAGGAUGGGGCCCCGUUCUGGUGUCCCUUCAAGUUCCCCAGCUCACCGCGCGAGACUUUCUGGAGGAGUGCUUAGCCCUCGGUAGUUGUUUGACUCUCUAUGUCUACCUGCUUCAGUGUCUGAACAGUGAGCAGACGGUGAAGAACGACAUGAAAAUGCUCCUCGUCGUCAGCGGCUGGCUGGAGCAGGUGUACCCGAGCUCUGCACAGGAAGAGGCAAAGCUGUUUCUGUGGUGGCAUCAAAUCCUGCAGCUGUCUCUGAUUCAGUUGGAGCAGAACGACUCCGUCCUGACAGAGUCCGUCAUCCGGAUCCUGCUCAUGCUGCAGAGCAGGCAGAGCCUUAUGGCCGAGGAGAGGCUCAGCUCUGGGAUUCUGGGGGCAAUCGGGUUGGGCCGGAGAUCACCCUUGUCCAACAGGUUCCGAGUGGCUGCCCGAAGCAUGGCUGCCUUCCUGUUGGUUCAGGUCCCUGCAGAAGACCAGAUUCGUCUGAAACCCAGCUCUGAGUUACAUCUGGCUCCAAAAGCUCAGCAGGUGCUGACAGCUCUGGAGUCCAUGACGCUCAGUAAGCAGUAUGUGGAGUACCAGGACCAGAUACUGCAUGCUCUUCAGUUUAUAAGGCAUCCUGGCCACUGCCUUCAGAAUGGGAAAAGCUUCCUGGCCCUUCUUGUCAACCGCCUCUAUCCAGAAGUGCAUUACCUGGACAACAUCCGGUAGUGAGGCCGAAGCCCUCGGAGCACCGUGUCGGCCCUGAGUUUACAUUAGCCGUGCUGUUGUGCAUGUAUCUUUCCUCAGUUUCGCCACAGAGCUCAGUUCUGCCUGGAAUCGACUGAGGUGCAGUUGGGAGGCAUCAGCUCGUCCUGGUUGCACUUACCUCUUCUGUCCAGUGGCCAUCUUAGUGUGAAUGCUCUUCCACAAGUCAACUGAGUUCCCGAGUACAGACCACUCACAUUUGGGGAAUGUGCCUGUCAGCUCCCUAAGAACAACAGAUAGAGUUUUUGGUAUGUCUGCACCUCUGUCUCCCUGCCUUGUUUAAAGGUCAAGACUCCUAAUGCCAGAUCUGACCACUUUGGGAGGCGUGAAGAGCCCUCUUUUGGAACUCCAUUGUAUUCUUCCGAUGUAAAAAUUCUGUAUUUCUGAAAUGUAGGGAAACACACCAGCUUUAAAGUGUUAUGUUACAGCUCUUUGAGUGGAGAGACUACACUGGAUUAAUUCAGGAGUGGUAGCUGGGCAGUGGUGGCACACACCUUUAAUCCCAGUACUUGGGAGGCAGAAGCAGGCAGAUUUCUGAGUUCGAGGACAGCCUGGUCUACAAAGUGAGUUCCAGGACAGCCAGGGCUACAGAGAAACCCUGUCUCAAAAAAAGCCAAAUAAUUUAUUAAUUAAGAAAUUCGGGAGUGGUGGCCCACACCUGUCCUCUGAGCACAUCGGCUGACUGAAACAGGAGGAUCACAAGGUUGAGGCAGCGUGAGGUGUGUAUCAAGAACAUCUCAGCAAACAGAGCAAAGGAGCUGAAUUAAAAUGAGUCCUGUGCAGACAUGUCACUUAACCCUGACCACAGUGGCCAGCACAGAUGGUGACACAUCCUCUGGAAGUGAGCUUGUCUGAAGUGAUGUGACAGUGUGCCCUAUGCCAGCUGUGUUGUGCACAGGUGUGUCGUCUUUGGGAGCACAGAAGCCCUGACCACAGCCGCCAGGGCACUGGAACCCUUUGGGUCUCCUCAGUCACAACGUUUUAUUAGCCCUGUCUAUGUGGAAUUCCCAGCUCUUGUUAUAAGUCAGGGCUUCUGCAGGCCCUACUGUCAGGGACACCGGGGACUUUGUACUUCUUCCUUAGGUAAAUCAGAUGGCGCUCAGGGACUCGCUGGAGCAUAUGUCCAGAGAGAAGGGCCAGGUCACGGCAAUCUGAGAAGUUUGACUUUUUGUGAGUAGCUCCGUGCCUUCUGUCAUUGCUGAGUCCCCGUUACCUGUCUGGCACAGUGCUCUGCUCCCUUUAGAUCUCCUGCUCAUGUCGCUCCCUGUAGAGUUCCUAAUUUGACUUCUGUCAGAAUAGUCCUACUUCUCAAAAAUGCCCCCAAAUGGGUUUUGCAGGUUCAGCUUAAAAUACGUCUUUUUUAUGGGUUUAGGUCUAGAAAUAUCUGUGUAAAAUCUAUGAGUGGCCACCAAGAGCCUUGACUAAAGAUGGGAUAUACAGCUAGUGGGUCCCUUCCCUGCAUUUGGAAGCUUGCAGGAACUUCUUAUUGGACAGAACAAGUCUGCCUGGUAGACAUGUCUUAGAACACUGAUAAAGGACGAUCCUAUUCAGUGGCACAAAGUAUCAUUGUCCAGGAAUCUGUCUCAGCCAUCUUUAUUUCUGCUUCUCUCUGCUUUCCAGGUCUGUCAUCCCCUCUCCAAUAGAAGAAAACUUUAGAAGCUGUAGACAGUUGAACCAGUGGUUCUGUGGUCAGGAAACACUGUUUUUGUGUGCUUUCUCCAAGGAGAACCAAGUUACCAAUAUCCUAGAAUGUGAAAUGUUUGAGUCAUAGUGUGUACAGUUUAGAGAAUCAAUUAAUUUUGAAAGUUUAUAAUAUUUGUAAAUUUUAUCUGUAAAAAGUAUAAACAAUAAAAUCAACCUUUGAUUGUAACUGAUGAAUCCGAAUUGAAGGCUAAUGUAGAUUUUUAUGACUGAUAAUACAUUUAUUUGGCUUUGUAACUGGUCGGUAAAAUUGCCACUAUUUUCAUCCCUGCUUAACAUCUGAGAGUUAUUUGCCUCAGAUUCUAUGAGAAGCACUGGGCUAAGUCUUUAAAACUAUGUAAUAAUUCAGAACAAAGAAGGCUGCCUGUGGACAGGCUGGCUGGCUGGCUGGCUACCGGAAGACAAACCUGGCUUUGCUAGGAAAAUGGUUCACUUUGAGAAUGCAAGUCAUGACAUCAGGGACAGUGAUGGGCACUUGAUGUCCUUGUCACCAAGCAAGGCCGUGGCUGAGCAGUAUGGAAGGUGGCCAUCGCAGACUCCAGAGCCUUCUGCAGCUUCCCAGGAACAGAUGAGAGUGUUGGCCUCAGCGGAAGUGCCUCUGCCUCUCCAGGCAUUGCCCACCUCCUUGGAGUGCACAUGUGGGGCAUGGGGGUAGGGGAUAGAGGUUGCUCUGGCCUUCCUUGCUCUACAGCCCCACUGGAACAGGUGACGGCAGGUCCUGUAGGAUGGUGGCUGUAAAGGCCAGCGCCCACCAUACACAUCUCUAAAGCUCCUGCACACUUGACCUUGUCUCUAAACAUGACGGGCAGGUGUCUUGCUGGUUAGGCCUCCACCGCUCAUGUGUCUUUUGUUUUUUGGUGUCAGUGAACAUGACGUGUAGACUCUCCCUGUAACUAGCCAGCAGUCUUUCUCCUCCAAGGCCAGCCAGUCUAUGCUCUGGUGAGUUUAAGCGCUUUGUCUGAAUCAAGCCAACAACACUGGUUUUCAAAGGUAUUUUCUAAAAAUUGUUUCUUCUACGCCCCCCCCCCCCAAACCCACAAAAUUGAUUCUUCUGAAGCAGGAAGCCAGUGUCUAGGAUCGUGGGCAGAGUUGAGGCACAUAUAAAUACCUCCGUUCCCUUAGUGGCAGUCCUCAACCUCUCCCCAACCCUGGCCACUCCCAGCCCAGGCUUGGCUAUGCCAGGGUCCUCUAGUUCUGAGUAUCUUGAGCGAGAAUGGUCCCUUAUAACCUUGCCUAUUGAUUGUGGAUCUGCCUGGAGCACCCAGGAAGGACCUGUUCUCAGCUACCUCAAGACAUUCCUCCUGUCCCAUCUCCUUAGUCCUCUCUAAGUAGCCAGAGUCCUUAGUCAUCUUUAAACGUGGCGUCGCGUCGCGUCCGAUAAAGCUGCUUUUGUGGGCAAAGUGCCCAAGUCAGUCCACACUACUGUGCCAAGGGUUAGCAGUGCCAGAACUGUGCAUGCUCAGCCCUCACAGAUCCUCACAAGGAGAGAGAGCAUCCUUGCCAGUUUUAUCCCUGGUGCUUUGUCGCCUUAUCCUGGACCCUGCCCUAGAGCUGUUACCUCCUUUGGGCUAAGCAGAUCGAAUCGCUCUAGCACUCACUUGGGCGGCAUCGGUUCCCAUUGUCCUAUGUAGUUGGCACGUUAACCUAGCAUUGAGUUAAACCACAGGCCUCUUUAAUAGCGGUCACUGCCCGAGUUCCACUGAGCAUCUACUUGGUCAGCCCAGUGGUCAGGCCCUUUGAACUUCGUCUCUGAUUGCACCUGCUCUUUAGUUAGCUAAACUUCACAGUCCAUUUUAAGGUGCUAGCUGAUCAUGUUAGGUGAGGCUCUUAGAGCCAGGGCCCUAAACAGACUGUUGUGUAGGAGUCAUGUGGCCAGGAGCAGGUCAUGUGCUUAUCCAUAGUCUCCUUCGCUCUGCACAGGCUUCUGAUUCCUCACGAGGAUAACGGGAAAAGAAAACUUACACUGCUCAUAUUUUACUAAUGAAAGUGCUGGUGUUGGUUAUAACUCAUUUUUCAGUGUGUCAUGCAAUAUGGCUGAGCACUGAAGAGAGGCUUGCUUUCAGUGGUUUGAGGUCAUUUAUAUCGGAGAUCAGUAGUGUGGCGUGCUCACCUCAGCUAGUGUGACCUUUACAGCCACAGUUUUACUCUUGCUCCAUCCUCUUGCCCCCCCCCCCCACGUGCUCAUGGCUGGCCUCUACUUCUCUACUCCUUCUCUCUCUACUACCCUCUCAACUUCCCUCCCCAUGCCCUGAGUAAACUCUAUACUAUACUAAACAAAACCAAAACAAACAAACAAAAGACCAGUCUUAUUUUGGCCAUUUAACUGUGCAAUACUUACUUCUUAUUCGCUGUUUAGUAUUUUCCAUGCUCAUACAAAGGACGCUUUUUUUUUUUUUUUUGUAAUGAUGGUGAGAAAUUGGAAGCCGUGAGAAUUAGUUAAGUGAAAUUCUGCAAAUAAAGGACAUUGUGAUUUCUCAUGC
Molecule: RNA transcript, 12061 nt
Organism: Mus musculus (house mouse)
Lineage: Eukaryota; Metazoa; Chordata; Mammalia; Rodentia; Muridae
Gene: Epg5
Gene name: ectopic P-granules 5 autophagy tethering factor
Exons: 44
Source: RefSeq, marked validated